CGGAGGGGCUAGCGUUGUUCGGAAUUACUGGGCGUAAAGCGCGCGUAGGCGGCUUUGUAAGUUAGAGGUGAAAGCCCGGGGCUCAACCCCGGAACUGCCUUUAAGACUGCAUCGCUUGAAUCCGGGAGAGGUGAGUGGAAUUCCGAGUGUAGAGGUGAAAUUCGUAGAUAUUCGGAAGAACACCAGUGGCGAAGGCGGCUCACUGGACCGGCAUUGACGCUGAGGUGCGAAAGCGUGGGGAGCAAACAGGAUU
This 253-nucleotide ribosomal RNA is filed under the name uncultured bacterium. RNAcentral's name for it is "partial 16S ribosomal RNA". It matches the Rfam family "Bacterial small subunit ribosomal RNA", at positions 527 to 779 of the family's 1533-position model. The record is from RNAcentral.